This is a long non-coding RNA of Cololabis saira (Pacific saury), 429 nucleotides long. RefSeq lists it as uncharacterized. The transcript is spliced from 4 exons. The record is from RefSeq and is a predicted model, not a curated record. NCBI's taxonomy places the organism in Eukaryota, Metazoa, Chordata, Actinopteri, Beloniformes, Belonidae.
UUGGGCAAGACACUUGACCCACCUUGCCUCGUGAAUGUGUAUGAAUGUUUGGUGGUGGUCGGAGGGGCCGUUUGGUCGAUAUUGCAGCCACGCAUCCGUCAGUCUGCAGGGCAGCUGUGGCUACAAACGUAGCUACCACCACCGGAUAUCCAGACAGAUGUGAUGAUUGUGUCUCCAUUCGCUCAGAGAAACAGUUUCCUUCCUACACCACAACUGAGGAAGAAACUGCCUCGAUUUGAAAAACUUCACCUUACUGAGGAAUCACGUGCAAAAAACCAUCUAGCACCAUCCUUGACAACCAGUGUUUAUUCUGUAUCAUAGAAAUUCCACAUUUGUUUUAUUGUUUAUUCUAUUUUAUCACCAAAGAGCGAAAUUACCGGAGUCAAAUUCCUUGUUGGACAAUGCCAAUAAAGAUGAUUCCGCUUCUGA